RNAcentral lists this ribosomal RNA (251 nucleotides) under uncultured prokaryote. RNAcentral's name for it is "partial 16S rRNA". It matches the Rfam family "Bacterial small subunit ribosomal RNA", at positions 525 to 775 of the family's 1533-position model. The record is from RNAcentral.
ACAGAGGUCCCAAGCGUUGUUCGGAUUCACUGGGCGUAAAGGGUGCGUAGGUGGCGAUGCAAGUCGGAUGUGAAAUCUCCGAGCUCAACUCGGAAACUGCAUUGGAAACUACUUUGCUUGAGGGUGGGAGGGGGAGCUGGAAUACUUGGUGUAGUGGUGAAAUGCGUAGAUAUCAGGUAGAACACCAGUGGCGAAGGCGAGUCACUGGGCCACUCCUGACACUGAGGCACGAAAGCUAGGGGAGCAAACAG